CGCCCUGUCUGCUCCCCAGCAGAUGGUCCGAGGGAAGAAGAUGGAGAGGAAAAAAAAAAGAAGAUAAAUGACUGCGUGCAAGAGUUUCAAAAUAGCGAUCCUGGUGCGGGCCUCUCAAGGACAGAGCAGUAAUGAGGGUGGACUGGAUUUAACCUUGAAGAGUACAGGAGACGGAGAAGCGUUUCGACCCUUUCCCCAUCGUCCACCCUUUGCACCUCUCUCCUCUUGACCAGGUGUGUCUGCUCAGCUGCCGCACGCACAACUGCAUGUUGGAAAGUUUAUCAUUACCUAAUUGCUGCUGUCGACUCCAAUUGGGAUUUUAGGUGAAUGUUGCCAGCUGCUGCUCCCUGCUGCCAAAAUGCCUCGUCCUUCCUGACUUCAUGUUUGAUUCUGCUUCGGAUUUGCUGCCCGUGGAAAGUGAAGCUUGUUCAGUGGACACAGCACACAAGUCCAACAUCCUGUGAAGCUGUGAAGAUGGAUGUCUCGCCGAGGAGGAAAGGACCGUGCAGUGUUCCUAUAGCGCUGCAUUGCCGCAAGCUCAUUACAACCCUCCCCUCUAAAAUCAUUCCUGCCUUUCGCCUGCCCCACUCUCACCAUUCACCCGAGCCUAAAUCUGCCCCCGCCCCAGCCUCAGCCUGA
Molecule: long non-coding RNA, 639 nt
Filed under: Betta splendens (Siamese fighting fish)
Lineage: Eukaryota; Metazoa; Chordata; Actinopteri; Anabantiformes; Osphronemidae
Description: lncRNA (ENSBSLG00000015437.1)
Source: RNAcentral